GAUGAAGAACGCAGCGAAAUGCGAUAAGUAGUGUGAAUUGCAGAAUUCAGUGAAUCAUCGAAUCUUUGAACGCACAUUGCGCCCCAUGGUAUUCCGUGGGGCAUGCCUGUUCGAGCGUCAUUUACCCCCUCAAGCUCCGCUUGGUGUUGGGCGUCUGUCCCGCUUCGCGCGCGGACUCGCCCCAAAGGUAUUGGCAGCGGUCGUGCCAGCUUCUCGCGCAGCACAUUGCGCUUCUCGAGGCACCGGUGGGCCCGCGUCCAUCAAGCUCACCCCCCCAGUUUGACCUCGGAUCAGGUAGGGAUACCUGCUGAACUUAAGCAUAUCAAUAAGCGGAGGA
RNAcentral lists this unclassified non-coding RNA (337 nucleotides) under soil metagenome. RNAcentral's name for it is "partial contains 5.8S ribosomal RNA, internal transcribed spacer 2, and large subunit ribosomal RNA". The stretch from base 1 to 120 matches the Rfam family "5.8S ribosomal RNA", at positions 35 to 154 of the family's 154-position model. The record is from RNAcentral.